AGAAUGAACGUUGGCGGCAUGGAUUAGGCAUGCAAGUCGCGCGCGAAAUGUAGCAAUACAUGGAGAGCGGCGAAAGGGAGAGGAAUACGUGGGAACCUACCUCGGGGCCUGGAAUAGCGGCGGGAAACUGCCGGUAAUGCCAGAUAACGUCUCCGGACCAAAGGUGUGAUUCCGCCUGGAGAUGGGCCCACGUCCUAUCAGCUAGUUGGCGAGGUAAAAGCUCACCAAGGCUAAGACGGGUAUGGGGUGUGAGAGCAGUCGCCCCCAUCACUGGGACUGAGACACUGCCCAGACACCGUACGGGUGGCUGCGAGUCGAGAACUCUUCGGCAAUGAGCGACAAGCUUGACCGAGCGAUCGCCGCGUGCGGAUCGGAACGGUCCCGU
Molecule: ribosomal RNA, 385 nt
Filed under: uncultured soil bacterium
Lineage: Bacteria
Description: bacterial SSU rRNA
Rfam family: Bacterial small subunit ribosomal RNA
Source: RNAcentral